CACCAUCUGCAUCUGCUAUAUGUUUUUUUCUUAUCUUUCUCCUGCAUCCAGCGCCUCAUGCCCUAUUCCAUCUAGCUCCUAGUCUCGAAGUCGACUGGUCUUGCCUGCUCCUCCUCUGUUGUGUCUGACCGACGUUGUUUCCUGCUUUCCUCUUCUUCCCAUCGAUUCAAGCUUUUAUAGCUCCCAAAACUGCUGCUUGUGCUAGUGUGCUUCGCCGCCAUUGCCUCUUGUGUUAAGCUGAGUUUUUGGAGCUACCAAUAUGUGACUUAAGCUGAUCGCAAAUUCGAUAAGCAACUUUAGUUUUAUUACAGCUUAGCUUCUAAUUCUGAAGCAGGAUUUUCUUAAUUUUCUGCUGGUUUUUCUUGUUGGUCUCAUUUUCAGGGGAAUUGAAGAAUCAUAUUCCAAUGAAGAUGUUUCUGUUUAUUUGGUGGAGACUCCUGCUUGCAGGCAAACGAGAGAGCAAAUCCAUGAAUUUAUGGAGAAGUAUAAGACAUACAAGCUUGCAAAAGCUGAGAUCCUCAAUGUCAUCAACGUUGCACCUCGUGAAUUAGUUGAAAUUGACCCGGUAGUUUUAUUAUUAAUUCAUCUUUCUCUUUCAUUAAUUAAUUCAUUCAUUCCUUCUUUCUUUCUUUGAAUUGUCCUUACAGAAAUCUUGGCUUAGGAGUGACACUUUCUAUGCUAUUUUUCUCAAUUUGUGAAUGUUCUUUUACUUCUCAUUUAUCAGGAUAGCUUUAAUUUAGGUAUUUGCUUUAUGUAAGGUGUGAAGGGACGCAUUGAAAUAAAUUUGUAUCUUAAUCAUUUGGACAGAAAAAGAAUAGAAAUCUGCUGUUAAAUUUGGUUGAGAAAUUUUUAAAUGGUAAAAUCAAUAUGAUAAGAAUUAGUAAACGGUACAGUGUUGUGUCAUGCAUCUUACAUUAAUUGCUUUUUCCAUUUAAAAAUAGAAAAAUUGUUUAUUUUGGGAAUCAGUUGUUAUGUGAUUCAUCUUCCAUUGUUCUUGGGUUAGCCCUUUGAAAAUAAUUUAUUGACAUAGUCUGGUAUUAUCUUAGUGCCAAAUUGACUUGUUCUGGAGAUAUGAUAGGUCUGCAUUCUGUUCUUUUGAAUCUGAAUAGGAUGCAAUCCACAAAUAGACUGAUGCUUUGGCUGUCCAUUUGUUUUAAGGCUGGAGCUAGAAAUAACUAAGGCUUUAAGCUAAAAAUGGUGGCAAACAUAUUGUAAGUAGGGAUAUCAGUUCCCUUGUGCGUGUGUGUUUGUGUUUGUGUCUGUGUGUGUGUUUUUUCUAUUCAUUAUUUUAAUUAAGUUUUAUGGUAAAAGUACUGGUAUAAACCACAAGUGGUCUCUUAACACCAUCAAAUUAUGGAAAUUGGCAAGGUAGAAAGUUAAGAACACUUAAGUUUGAAAAUUAAGAAACUAUGUUGUAAUGCUUUUAAUUAAAUUUAUUAAAAAACUGAACAAUAGUUUAGACGAGUCAUAUGGCAAGGGCAUGGAAUAAGUUAAGAACACUUAAAUUUGAAAAUUGUUAGUGCAGGACUCCUAAUGAAAUGAAUAAGUUAUGAGAAUCACCUUUUCUGAUUUGCUAUGUAAUCAUUAAUUAUUAGAUAAUAUAUUUCAUUCUCCAAUGUAUAUAUUUGCUAGUUUUAUAUGUAUGUAAGGUCACAAUAAUUUGUAUAAAAUCUACAAAUUCGAUUUUCUUCUCAAUUCUUGAUUAAUAAAAUUAUGAUUUUGAUUCUAAAUUUGACAACUUAGGAAUUAAACAGAUUCAAACAAAUCAUGAUGUAAAAAUAACUAUUAGACAGGAAAGAUUGGGAUCCAAAAAAAAAUCAUAGAUACCGCUUUUUCUAUGCUUGAGAAAUGCUGCAUCUUGUUUGAUAAGAUUUUCUGCAUGUGUACCAGAGAAGCCAUAGCUGUUCCCUGAAAUUCUAUCAUAUUAUCCAAUAAAAAGGAAAGGAAAGCAUGUAGAUGCAAAAUUGAAUAUCAAUACUGUCAAAUUCUUAAGCACUAUAUCAUAACGAAAUUAGCUGUGCAAGAAGGGGUUGGGGGAAUAAAUAAAAAGAAGGUUGAUGGUAGGAGAGGUCGGAGCUUUUCCUUUCCCUUCUGAAUAUCUAUUACCUUAAAAAUAUUCAAUAUGCCAUACAAAUUAACUUACACAACCUGUGACCAACAAGCACAAUAGCAGGAGGAGAAUCUCCAUGCAUUAACUAUAGAACAUAUUCGUUGUUUGUAAGAGUGAUAUAACUCGUAUGUUGAUUUAGAAAGUGAAGUAUGUACGAUCUAAUUCAAUGAAAAAGUCUCAUGCACCUUCAAAUUAAUAUGCAAGUGUUGUCUGUGAAGUUGCCACUAAAUGCAGUAAUGUGAUGAAGAGAUCGCUUUGCUUCGACAUGGGUUAUAGUAGCAGCAGUAAUUGCAAAAGGAUUAAUUAAAACACUAGGAAAUAUAGGUAGUUUGAAUAAGCAGCGGAUAAACUACUAGAAAAGGAUAUAUAGAUAGAGAGGGUUUUUUUUUUUUUUAAAGGAUAUAUAGAUAGAAAAGGACAUGGGUUCUACUGCUUUUUUUUUCUUUUUUUUUUUUUGUGUAAUUAAGCUUAUUCAAUAUUUACAUAAAAAUGUGAUAUUAUUUAAAUUUUUUUAUGUAAUUCAAAUAAAAUCUACGUAAAUUAUAAACUAAAUUUAAAAUACAUUUUUAUCUUUUUUAUAGAUAAACACUUUAAUAAUGUGAUUUUAUAAAAUACAAUUUCUUAAUUGAUGAUAAAUUGGAAAUAGUCUAUGCUAUUAUAAUUAAAAAAUAAUGCUAAUUAUAGUAUUACAUAACUAAUUUUACAUGUAAGAAAAAAUAUAUAGAGUAUUACACAAUCAAUCUCACUUAUAUAUAUCAAAACUUUUGAGUUUUUUUAUUGCAAUAUUUAAUUUAAAAUUUAUCUCAUUUUAAUUAUUUUUAACUGUUAAAUGAUUACAUUCAUAUCAUUCACUAUCGAUUAUCUCUAAAGGAAAAAAUAAACAAAAAGUAACACUAUACUUAUAAUAAAAAUUGGGAGGGUUCUUUUUUUUUUUAUAGCAACUUCAUCCUUGAUAUUUAGAGGAAACAUCUCAGAAAUUAUGACAAGAUUUUCUAUAUAAUGAGGGAGAGAGAGAGGAAGAGAGAUUUUUUUUCAUUAGGAUAAAUUUUUUUCAAUAUUUGAAGGUUUGUAUUUUUGUGCCAAAAUUGAAACGAUAUGAAUAAAUCGCAAAAGAGUGAAAAAAUUUGGCUGUUUAUUAUGAUUAGAAAUUUAAUUCAAAUAUAGGAUGAAUUACAAUUAAGUCCAUAAGAUAUAGAAAAAUCCACAUAUCAAUCCUUAAUUUGUUUUUGGCAAUAAUUUAGUCCUUAAAUUUAAACUGUGUUAACAAAUUGGUGUUUCAAUUGAAAUCAGACUCAAUUUUCUGUCAAUCAACCUUAGACUCUACAAGCCAACUCACAUAAUUUCUAAAUUAUCUCUCUCUUUCUCUCUAAUGUUGCAUUUUUUAAAACAGAAUUUGCACUAUCUUGGGCCAUUAAUCAUUAUAAUCAUUACAACACAAUGUUUGGAAAUACUUCUUUUGCAAUACUUCUUUUGUGGCAAUACUUCUUUUGCAACAUAUGGCACCAAGCUAUUGGGAUUGUUUCGGCUAGUAAUAGUGACACUUUGUUACAAUUAUUUGGGUUCUUGGUUUGUGUUCGUUCUACUGCUGGGCUCCGUGAUUCAAGGCAUUUUAUUAACCUCAGAAGCUGAGAAGCUGCAGUCUAUGAAUUUGUUGCUCUAUAUGGCCUUAUAACCACAUAACUUUAAGAAUGGAAGGGAUUUCUUGAAAGUUGAAUCUUGUUAUAUUGAAAUGGGUUUGAACAGACCUCAAAAACUCGGCAAUGCUAUCUCGACCAGAUGGAUUUCUAUCUUCUCCAAAAAAAUGAAAAGAAAAACAAAUUAAUGUGUAUAUUAUCAGAGGAGACAUUAUUAUUAUUUUACAUCAAUUAAUAAAUCUUGAGUCUAAUUUUAAUAAAAAAGAAAGAUCAAUUUAUGAAAUAAAAUUUAAAUUUAUGAACCAAAAUUUUGUUAAAAACAAAUUAGAAAUUAACAUGUACAUUUUUCUAUAUUUUAAAAACUUAAUUGUAAUUUCCUUUUUCUUUAUGAAAUUAUUAUUUAGUUACUGUAUUUUAAUAAAACUAAUUAUUUAGUCUUUUUAUUUUAAAAUAUACACCAUUUAGUUUUUAUAUUUUUCUUUCCUUAAACUCUUUCAUAUCUCCAUCAAAUUUUUUUGUUGGUCAACUAAUUUUAAUGCUAGUCAAAUAAUUAUUUAGUUCUUCUAUUUUAGUCAAACUAAUUAAUUGGCCUACCUAUUUUGAAAAAUAUUACUAUUUAGUCUUUAUUGUUUAGCAAAACUAAUUAGUUAGUCCCCAUACUUUAAAAAACCCAAUAUUUUAAAAACAUAUUCCUAUAUAAAAAUGAAAAUUUUGUUAUGUGGAAACUAUAUUUGAAUUUAUAUUUUUUUAAAUUGUUCAAAUAUUUUUCAUUCUAUUCCUAGAUAUGUAUCAUUAUUGUGUUUUCUCUAUUGGAAAAAUUUUCUUCGAUUAUCGCCUGGAUUAUAUUUACUGAAAGGUUAUAAACUAAGCACUUCCAAAGGGGAACAAACUAGUAUAUAAGAUAGUUGAUACUAGAAAUACCAUACCAAAUUAAAUUGAUUCCUGAGUAUCCGAAUUAUUAUUUAUUUCUUUCUUUAUUUGUAUAUAUUAUUUCUUGUUAUACUAUUGCACCACUAAGCAGAAAUGCUUAGCGCGAUGGAAUUGCUUCCUCGCGCAGGUACUGAAGGUAAAAUCAGUAGACUGUCGACUGAGAUUUUUGGAGUUCAGAUCUGCAGAAGUGUCAAAAGAGUACAAGGUUGUCACCUCCUCAGCAAUGCAUGUAGAUAGGGCUCAUUUUAUACAUGUUAUGUAUAUUGUUCAUUCCUAGCACAUUGUAAAUUAUUUGUAUAUCCUGUACAAAAUAAACUCAUGUAAUUAACCUGUGAAUUAUGGAAGCUACUGAAAGCAAGUAUUUUAAUAUGUGAA
This is an RNA transcript of Hevea brasiliensis (rubber tree), 5049 nucleotides long. RefSeq lists it as uncharacterized. NCBI's taxonomy places the organism in Eukaryota, Viridiplantae, Streptophyta, Magnoliopsida, Malpighiales, Euphorbiaceae. The transcript has 3 exons. The record is from RefSeq and is a predicted model, not a curated record.